Molecule: non-coding RNA, 305 nt
Organism: Salvia hispanica
Lineage: Eukaryota; Viridiplantae; Streptophyta; Magnoliopsida; Lamiales; Lamiaceae
Source: RefSeq, a predicted model, not a curated record
CCUCGCCACGGAGAAAUUCCUGCUGGAGCUAAUAUGAUAUUCAAGAAAUUCCUCAAGGCCGGCCUCACCUUCACGAUGGAUCCUUACAACGACGUCGCGUGUCGUGCAUUUAGAGUUUGUAUGUAUGAUUACUUUGCUUGGUUGAGCCAGAUUAAUACCCUGGAAGAGAUUUUGACUUUUAGAGAUCAUUAACACUGUAGAAUUUCCCCAUUUGAUGUAGUACAUAAUAUUGGAUCAUAUACUAUUGUCACACUUGUAUACAUUGCUACAUCUUUUCUUCUUUGAAUAUAUUGUUUCCAACUGAA